UACAGAGGUCCCAAGCGUUGUUCGGAUUCAUUGGGCGUAAAGGGUGUGUAGGUGGCGCGCUAAGUCGGGUGUGAAAUUUCGGAGCUUAACUCCGAAACUGCAUUCGAUACUGCGGUGCUUGAGGACUGGAGAGGAGACUGGAAUUCAUGGUGUAGCAGUGAAAUGCGUAGAGAUCAUGAGGAAGACCAGUGGCGAAGGCGGGUCUCUGGACAGUUCCUGACACUGAGACACGAAGGCCAGGGGAGCAAACGGG
Molecule: ribosomal RNA, 253 nt
Filed under: uncultured bacterium
Lineage: Bacteria
Description: partial 16S ribosomal RNA
Rfam family: Bacterial small subunit ribosomal RNA
Source: RNAcentral